GAUGAACGCUGGCGGCGUGCCUAAUACAUGCAAGUCGAGCGAACGGACGAGAAGCUUGCUUCUCUGAUGUUAGCGGCGGACGGGUGAGUAACACGUGGAUAACCUACCUAUAAGACUGGGAUAACUUCGGAAAACCGGAGCUAAUACCGGAUAAUAUUUUGAACCGCAUGGUUCAAAAGUGAAAGACGGUCUUGCUGUCACUUAUAGAUGGAUCCGCGCUGCAUUAGCUAGUUGGUAAGGUAACGGCUUACCAAGGCAACGAUGCAUAGCCGACCUGAGAGGGUGAUCGGCCACACUGGAACUGAGACACGGUCCAGACUCCUACGGGAGGCAGCAGUAGGGAAUCUUCCGCAAUGGGCGAAAGCCUGACGGAGCAACGCCGCGUGAGUGAUGAAGGUCUUCGGAUCGUANAACUCUGUUAUUAGGGAAGAACAUAUGUGUAAGUAACCGUGCACAUCUUGACGGUACCUAAUCAGAAAGCCACGGCUAACUACGUGCCAGCAGCCGCGGUAAUACGUAGGUGGCAAGCGUUAUCCGGAAUUAUUGGGCGUAAAGCGCGCGUAGGCGGUUUUUUAAGUCUGAUGUGAAAGCCCACGGCUCACCGUGGAGGGUCAUUGGAAACUGGAAAACUUGAGUGCAGAAGAGGAAAGUGGAAUUCCAUGUGUAGCGGUGAAAUGCGCAGAGAUAUGGAGGAACACCAGUGGCGAAGGCGACUUUCUGGUCUGUAACUGACGCUGAUGUGCGAAAGCGUGGGGAUCAAACAGGAUUAGAUACCCUGGUAGUCCACGCCGUAAACGAUGAGUGCUAAGUGUUAGGGGGUUUCCGCCCCUUAGUGCUGCAGCUAACGCAUUAAGCACUCCGCCUGGGGAGUACGACCGCAAGGUUGAAACUCAAAGGAAUUGGCGGGGACCCGCACAAGCGGUGGAGCAUGUGGUUUAAUUCGAAGCAACGCGAAGAACCUUACCAAAUCUUGACAUCCUUUGACAACUCUAGAGAUAGAGCCUUCCCCUUCGGGGGACAAAGUGACAGGUGGUGCAUGGUUGUCGUCAGCUCGUGUCGUGAGAUGUUGGGUUAAGUCCCGCAACGAGCGCAACCCUUAAGCUUAGUUGCCAUCAUUAAGUUGGGCACUCUAAGUUGACUGCCGGUGACAAACCGGAGGAAGGUGGGGAUGACGUCAAAUCAUCAUGCCCCUUAUGAUUUGGGCUACACACGUGCUACAAUGGACAAUACAAAGGGCAGCGAAACCGCGAGGUCAAGCAAAUCCCAUAAAGUUGUUCUCAGUUCGGAUUGUAGUCUGCAACUCGACUACAUGAAGCUGGAAUCGCUAGUAAUCGUAGAUCAGCAUGCUACGGUGAAUACGUUCCCGGGUCU
RNAcentral lists this ribosomal RNA (1371 nucleotides) under uncultured bacterium. Its description in RNAcentral is "bacterial SSU rRNA". It matches the Rfam family "Bacterial small subunit ribosomal RNA", at positions 28 to 1381 of the family's 1533-position model. The record is from RNAcentral.